RNAcentral lists this long non-coding RNA (257 nucleotides) under Salvia miltiorrhiza (redroot sage). RNAcentral's name for it is "long non-coding RNA (SMIL_LNC001868)". The record is from RNAcentral. Lineage: Eukaryota; Viridiplantae; Streptophyta; Magnoliopsida; Lamiales; Lamiaceae.
CAAAAUCGUUCCCUCUCUCUCUCUCUGCUACCCGCAACAUCCGCCCCAGCCUCCCUCUCCGAACUCCGGCCACCUCUCCCUCGGUUCUGUGACUCAACCCGACGGUACCCCGUGCGCCGCCUCCUUCCUCGGCUGCGGCGAAGACGCCGCCGCCUCCCUCUCCUCACGAUACCCACCCCACUGUUCCUGCUUCUCUCCCACUUUUUCGCACCCCCGACGAUUUCAGCAGCGACAAGUCGCCGCUCCGCCUUCCUCCU